Molecule: long non-coding RNA, 976 nt
Filed under: Homo sapiens (human)
Lineage: Eukaryota; Metazoa; Chordata; Mammalia; Primates; Hominidae
Description: long intergenic non-protein coding RNA 3076
Source: RNAcentral
AGUCCUCUCCACCCCAAGGUAGGCAGCUUCCCGCUCCUCGUCUUGGGACCUAAACCCAGGAAGUCAAAUGUCCUUUUCUAGCAGGUCGCCUGGUUAGAGGCCGUGGACGAAGCGGUCCAGGCACAGCCAGCUGCAGGGCGCGGCCUCGGCGGCGCUGCUCGUGGCCCUGGUCAGUGAGCGCACUCACUCCUGGACUAAGCAUUAUUCUCUUGGAUUCACCUUUGCAAAGAAUUGAACAAAAUAGAAGCCAAAGAAGUAGACAGAAAAUAAAUCAAUCCACUCUGCUCAAAGAGCACACAGUCUAAUGAAGAUGAUGAACAUGAAGUCAACUUCGUAGUGUUGAGAGCACUGUUUCUCCAGAGCAGCACUUCUCAUCAGGGGCUGCACGUUAGACUUACCUGGGGAGUAUACAUAAGUUCAGAUGCCCAGGCUGUACUUCAGAAUCUCUGGAGCUCUAUGCAACUCAUUUUCAUCUAGCAUUACCUCUCCAAAACCUGAAUCUCCACAAGAAAGCCACACAGCAAUUAACCAGUGUUGCAAGAACUGCUUCUGUAAUAAAGGUGGGAAGACAAAUUGAUGCAACCCUCUUGAAAAGCAAUCUGGCAAUAUGAACCAAGAGCCAUGAAAAGGCUUAUGCUAUUAUAAUUAAAUGGCUGUAAUGUUGGCUGUAAAUAUGAAAUUUUCUUUCACACACCAAUGUUUUCAAGAAUGGCAUAUUCACAUGCAGUAUGUGAUGAAAGAAGCAGUAAAGGAUGCUAACAAAGCUAUUUCUUUGGACAAUCUGAACCUGAUGAGAAAAUUGAAGCCAACAGAAGUUAACUAACUUGCCUAAAAUAACACAGCUGUGGCAAAUUAGGACCAGAACCAAGGUCUCCUGACCUAAGUGCUACUCCCACCAUACUACAUGAUCUGCUGUUUAAAAUUUUGGUGAGCUUUAUAACAUAAAUAAAACUACAGAUGUGAAGGACUACUGAAA